ACAAGUAAAUAAAACUAAACAACAGGUAAAAGUAAAUAAAAAAAUAAAAAAUAAAAAUGUGUUUAUAGUUACAUGGUGACGUCAGCUGUCGUCCUGCUAACGAACGCAGUUAGUCGGGCGGUUAAUGUUACCAUGGUGACCGAGUUUGACUUUCUCUUGUUGCUAGGUUACCAAGAGUUAAAAAAAAUAACAUAAAAACAAGUAAAUUACAUUAAUAAAUAUUUUUUAUCAAUAAAACAUUUGAUUUUUGACUUAGUCUUGUUUAUGUGUCGUCUUAUUUAUAACUUUUUAAUUUCUUCGAUAGAAACGUUCUGCGUCACUUCCGGUUGAAGCUUCCGGUAAUCACGCACAGGUGUGUCGAGGUGUUCUCAGGUGUGUAUAUCAUUGUCUCGAGCAGGUAAGCGGUGCGGACCGCGUGCAGCGUGGCAGCAUGUUGGAAGAAGAAGGAGCCGGGGAAGGAAACAUGAAGUCUAGAUACUCAGAACUCUGUUGACGUCUUCCAGGAGGAUCCCCCGUCGGUGACCGUCUUCCUGCUCAGAAGAUCCUUCCAGCUGCAGCACAGAUCCUACUCUUCAGAGUUCAGAGCGAGGAAACACCUGGAAGAUCAGACACAAGAAACGAAGAUAUCAGGGUUCAAAGUUCAUGUCAGGAUGCAUCUAGCUGCUGGUUGAGUGUGUGAAGAACAAAGACUUAAAGAAGGUGAGUGACAGUUUCAUCUCUCACUGCAGACCUUUGCACCUCAUUUCUACAUACUCACAUGUGU
Molecule: non-coding RNA, 763 nt
Organism: Labrus bergylta (ballan wrasse)
Lineage: Eukaryota; Metazoa; Chordata; Actinopteri; Labriformes; Labridae
Source: RefSeq, a predicted model, not a curated record